Molecule: ribosomal RNA, 429 nt
Filed under: Bacteroidota bacterium
Lineage: Bacteria; Pseudomonadati; Bacteroidota
Description: Bacteroidetes bacterium partial 16S ribosomal RNA
Rfam family: Bacterial small subunit ribosomal RNA
Source: RNAcentral
UAGGGAAUCUUCCGCAAUGGACGCAAGUCUGAUGGAGCAACGCCGCGUGAGUGAAGAAGGAUUUCGGUUCGUAAAACUCUGUUGUUAGAGAAGAACAGCGCAUGGAGUAACUGUUAUGCGUGUGACGGUAUCUAACCAGAAAGCCACGGCUAACUACGUGCCAGCAGCCGCGGUAAUACGUAGGUGGCAAGCGUUGUCCGGAUUUAUUGGGCGUAAAGCGAGCGCAGGCGGUCAAUUAAGUCUGAUGUGAAAGCCCCCGGCUCAACCGGGGAGGGUCAUUGGAAACUGGUUGACUUGAGUGCAGAAGAGGAGAGUGGAAUUCCAUGUGUAGCAGUGAAAUGCGUAGAUAUAUGGAGGAACACCAGUGGCGAAGGCGACUCUCUGGUCUGUAACUGACGCUGAGGCUCGAAAGCGUGGGUAGCAAACAGG